RNAcentral lists this long non-coding RNA (361 nucleotides) under Gossypium barbadense (sea-island cotton). RNAcentral's name for it is "long non-coding RNA (GBAR_LNC009571)". Lineage: Eukaryota; Viridiplantae; Streptophyta; Magnoliopsida; Malvales; Malvaceae. The record is from RNAcentral.
AAUCAAUUAUGGGAAAAAUCAUAACUUCCUUAGAAGGUAAGAAUCAUGCAUGAAAGUCAAACAGUAGGCAAUUCCUGGUAAAAUCUUGGGCAUGAAAAGCAGCAGGAUAUUCUUAAAAUAAAUAGGCAGAAACGAGCACAAAACAACAGCAACAACAAUAUGACAGCAAAAAUAGCAGAUAAUAACAGUAACAACGAAGAAUGCCUCCCCCCCACUUAAAACACAUAGUCCUCGAUGUGAAAGUAAAAGGAAAACAAAUAGGUGGAGAAAAAAAAGUUUAGAAAAACUCCCCAUGUAGUUACCGUCGGUUGGCGCACACGGUGGAGAAGAAGAUGGCGAAGCGGCAAGAGGUGGAGACGGG